GAGGGUGUAGCUCAAGUGGUAGAGCACAUGCUUGGCGUGCACGAGGUCCUGGGUUCAGUCCCCACGACCUCC
Molecule: transfer RNA, 72 nt
Filed under: Camelus ferus (Wild Bactrian camel)
Lineage: Eukaryota; Metazoa; Chordata; Mammalia; Artiodactyla; Camelidae
Rfam family: tRNA
About the family: Transfer RNA (tRNA) molecules are approximately 80 nucleotides in length.
Source: Rfam by way of RNAcentral